UGAGUCAGUGAUGCCAUCCAACCAUCUUGUCCUCUGUCAUCCCCUUCUCCUCCUGCCGUCAAUCUUUCGCAGCAUUGCAGGCUGUUUUACCCUCAGUCCCAGAAUUCCUCAACGAUCGGAAGCAAGACAAGGGUGACCACGCCGUCCACUAUUAUUCAAUAUAUCAGCUGAUAUUAUUUUAUUGUAAUUUUAAGUGUCAAUGGGUUCGGUGAAAGUUCUCACAACGGGCUCUCUGAAGGGCUCAGAUGCAGUUUGAAUCAGCCAACCGGCACAAGCGGAGGAGAAACAACAAUACCAGCCACUUCUUGCGGCAAAAGGCUUCCCGUCACUUUAUGGAAGCGCGAAGGGCAGAGGAAAAACCGGCCCGGCGACACUGUGGAGCAACACUGCCACCUGCAGGCCACAGAAACCAAAACGCCGCAAGCCCGGAAGAAAAGUCAUCGUUCCUGCUGGGUUUUCGCGCAGAGGACUGGACGGCGGGGAUGCGAGAGUUAAGGGAGAUGCCCGUAAGGACGAGAGAAAGGAAAGGAAUCUCUCGAAGGGGUCCGGCCAAACCACCCCUGGACUGCGAGCCGUCCGGGGAACCAUAGCAACGCGGGCAGGAAGUCAGGGAGUCCGGGAAGAUCCGGAGGUUGGUGGGCGGGGCUGCACUCCGAUUGGCUGGCUCUGGGCCUGCGCGCAGCUACCCAGUGAGGCCCGUGCCAGUCUCCCGGCCCUGGUCGGCUGGGCGUUUUCUCGGGGACCCUGUUGGGCACUCUCCACUGAAGAACCUGACCGGUGACGUCCGGGUCCUGUCGCCCACUGCCGAAGCCUCCCACGUGCGGGAACGUUGCAAGUCCCCUGUCCAUUCUCCUCCCUCCCACCCCCGGCCUGUGAACGCGUUCCUCCCCGUGGUACACUCACUGUUCUCUCAGCCCUCACUCUUCUGAUCCGUCCUCAGUGCCCACGAGGCUCACCCGGUCACCCCGGAGACUCUCCGUCCUUAGCGAUGCUCCCUUCCUCCCCACCCGAGCAUCCCUCUGCCCACGGUCCCGCCCCGGACAUCAGGAAAGACCGCGGCCCUCGUGGUGUCCUCUUUGUAGCAUUCCUCCCUGUCAUCACCCUCAACAUGACGUCCUGUCCUCCAGCUCCUUCGCACUAGUGCCAGUGCACUGAUGCCACAACCUGCUGGAGACCUCCAGCUCACCGACCACGCGUCCUUUCACACCAUGCGCCAGGCCCCUCCUCGAUCGGCUGAGCCAGGCCUGGAAGCUGUCCGCCGCAAACACACCUCUCCCCCCGCAAACACACCUCUUGUGCUCCUUGCACCCUCCUGCCUACCCACUCCCUGCCUGUGUCUGAGCAUCGAGGAGAAAACUUUACAACUUUA
Molecule: non-coding RNA, 1369 nt
Organism: Odocoileus virginianus texanus
Lineage: Eukaryota; Metazoa; Chordata; Mammalia; Artiodactyla; Cervidae
Source: RefSeq, a predicted model, not a curated record